Molecule: ribosomal RNA, 492 nt
Filed under: uncultured bacterium
Lineage: Bacteria
Description: partial 16S ribosomal RNA
Rfam family: Bacterial small subunit ribosomal RNA
Source: RNAcentral
AGUGAACGCUGGCGGUAGGCCUAACACAUGCAAGUCGAACGGCAGCACAGUAAGAGCUUGCUCUUACGGGUGGCGAGUGGCAGACGGGUGAGGAAUACAUCGGAAUCUACUUUUUCGUGGGGGAUAACGUAGGGAAACUUACGCUAAUACCGCAUACGACCUACGGGUGAAAGCAGGGGAUCUUCGGACCUUGCGCGAUUGAAUGAGCCGAUGUCGGAUUAGCUAGUUGGCGGGGUAAAGGCCCACCGAGGCGACGAUCCGUAGCUGGUCUGAGAGGAUGAUCAGCCACACUGGAACUGAGACACGGUCCAGACUCCUACGGGAGGCAGCAGUGGGGAAUAUUGGACAAUGGGCGCAAGCCUGAUCCAGCCAUACCGCGUGGGUGAAGAAGGCCUUCGGGUUGUAAAGCCCUUUUGUUGGGAAAGAAAAGCAGCAGGUUAAUACCCCGCUGUUCUGACGGUACCCAAAGAAUAAGCACCGGCUAACUUCGUG